GGGUGGGUGUUCUAGUGGCGAACGGGUGAGUAACACGUGGGCAACCUGCCCCCGGCUCUGGGAUAACUCCAAGAAAUUGGGGCUAAUACCGGAUAUGUCCGCCGACCGCAUGGUCUGGUGGUGGAAAGGGUUUCCGGCUGGGGAUGGGCCCGCGGCCUAUCAGCUUGUUGGUGGGGUAGUGGCCCACCAAGGCGACGACGGGUAGCCGGCCUGAGAGGGUGACCGGCCACACUGGGACUGAGACACGGCCCAGACUCCUACGGGAGGCAGCAGUGGGGAAUAUUGCGCAAUGGGCGAAAGCCUGACGCAGCGACGCCGCGUGGGGGAUGACGGCCUUCGGGUUGUAAACCUCUUUCAGCAGGGACGAAGCGCAAGUGACGGUACCUGCAGAAGAAGCACCGGCCAACUACGUGCCAGCAGCCCGCGGUAAUACGUAGGGUGCAAGCGUUGUCCGGAAUUAUUGGGCGUAAAGAGCUCGUAGGCGGUUCGUCGCGUCGGCUGUGAAAUCCCGAGGCUCAACCUCGGGUCUUGCAGUCGAUACGGGCGUACUG
Molecule: ribosomal RNA, 551 nt
Filed under: Blastococcus sp. JMT1960
Lineage: Bacteria; Bacillati; Actinomycetota; Actinomycetes; Geodermatophilales; Geodermatophilaceae
Description: bacterial SSU rRNA
Rfam family: Bacterial small subunit ribosomal RNA
Source: RNAcentral